This is a non-coding RNA of Artibeus jamaicensis (Jamaican fruit-eating bat), 1190 nucleotides long. NCBI's taxonomy places the organism in Eukaryota, Metazoa, Chordata, Mammalia, Chiroptera, Phyllostomidae. The record is from the annotation of a RefSeq genome assembly.
AUGUCACAGCUUCAUUCUCAGGGACAGAGGCAAAGUUUGCUCAUGGAACCCAGGUCUGGACCUGGAACUGAUGUGCACAUGGGAGUCACCAGGGCCUGUCCUCUCUGGGUCCUGGCAGAUGGGCAAAUCAUCUAUUUUUGUAGGAGUUGUAACCAGUGUGAUCACUCAGGCUGGAUCAAGGUAUUUGCAGAAGGGACUAAGCUCAUAGUGAUCCCCCAUGAGAGAAGCCUUGAUUCAUCAGAUACUGCUCCUAAACCCACGAUUUUUCUUCCUUCAGUUGAGGAAAUAAACCUUCAUAAGGCUGGGACAUAUCUUUGUCUCCUUGAGAAGUUUUCCCCUGAUGUUAUUAAGGUAUAUUGGAAGGAAAAGAAUGGCAAUGCAAUUCUGGCAUCCCAGCAGGGAAAUACCAUGAAGACUAAGGACACGUACAUGAAAUUCAGCUGGCUGACCGUGACUGCAAAGUCAAUGGGUAAAGAACACAAAUGCAUCGUCAAACACGAGAAUAAUAAAAGAGGAGUUGAUCAAGAGAUUCUUUUUCCUUCAAUAAAUAAAGAGGUUGCUGGUACUAAUCCUACAGUAGAUGAUUGUCUGGAAGAUAAAAGUGAUUUACUGCGGUUGCAGCUCACCAAUACCUCCGCCUACUACACCUACCUCCUCCUCCUCCUCAAGAGCCUGGUCUACUUUGCCAUCAUUUCCUUCUGUCUGUUUAGGAGAACAGCAGUCUGUGGCCGUGGAAAGACUGCAUAACACAUGAUGGCCCAAUUUUUCUUCAUUUCUUUUCCCUGGACGUGUCUGCUGAGGGUGUAGCUGGUCUUCCUAUCUGGGUUUGGAUUAUUUCAGUCCCCAUGCACUUUUCUAUCACAUCAUUAUCCCAUACUGGUUUUCAAAACACUGGGUAAAAGACAAUUUCUCUCUGUAACAAUAACCAAUUUGGCCACGCCUCUGGUGCAGGGCCCAAGGGUGCCCUUUAGCACCACCUUUCCUAUAAUCUCUAUCAGCUCCUCUAGCCAAGCCAGGUAACCAUGCCUUCUGAGUACAGACAGCAUGCAGCUCCUUGUCCCAUUCUUCAGUGCUCUUUAACCAGGGACCUGCCUUAAAGCUGUCCAUUUCUCACACCCAGAAGCUACCUUUCCAGUUACUUUUAUUCUGUAUGUUGUGUUUUAUAACUGGCACAAUAAAUUUUUUUUAAA